Molecule: ribosomal RNA, 253 nt
Filed under: uncultured bacterium
Lineage: Bacteria
Description: partial 16S ribosomal RNA
Rfam family: Bacterial small subunit ribosomal RNA
Source: RNAcentral
UACGAAGGGGGCUAGCGUUGUUCGGAAUUACUGGGCGUAAAGCGCACGUAGGCGGACUAUUAAGUCAGGGGUGAAAUCCCGGGGCUCAACCCCGGAACUGCCUUUGAUACUGGUAGUCUCGAGUCCGGAAGAGGUGAGUGGAAUUCCGAGUGUAGAGGUGAAAUUCGUAGAUAUUCGGAGGAACACCAGUGGCGAAGGCGGCUCACUGGACCGGAACUGACGCUGAGGCGCGAAAGCGUGGGGAGCAAACAGG